RNAcentral lists this microRNA precursor (98 nucleotides) under Ailuropoda melanoleuca (giant panda). Its description in RNAcentral is "mir-544 microRNA precursor family". It matches the Rfam family "mir-544 microRNA precursor family". The record is from Rfam by way of RNAcentral. Lineage: Eukaryota; Metazoa; Chordata; Mammalia; Carnivora; Ursidae.
AUCCCCUGGGAAUCUUGUUAAAAUGCAGAUUCUGAUUAAGUAGGUCUGGGGUGGGGCCCGACAGUCUGCAUUUCUAACAAGCCCCCACGUGAUGCUGA